Molecule: ribosomal RNA, 487 nt
Filed under: uncultured bacterium
Lineage: Bacteria
Description: bacterial SSU rRNA
Rfam family: Bacterial small subunit ribosomal RNA
Source: RNAcentral
GACGAACGCUGGCGGCGUGCUUAACACAUGCAAGUCGAACGAGACGAAUUAGAAGCUUGCUUUUAUUGAGUCGAGUGGCAAACGGGUGAGUAACGCGUAGACAACCUGCCGUAAAGAUGGGGACAACAGUUCGAAAGGACUGCUAAUACCGAAUGUUGUAGAGUUUCCGCAUGGGGAUCCUACUAAAGGUGGCCUCUACUUGUAAGCUAUCGCUUUACGAUGGGUCUGCGUCUGAUUAGCUAGUUGGUGGGGUAACGGCCUACCAAGGCGACGAUCGGUAGCCGGACUGAGAGGUUGAACGGCCACAUUGGAACUGAGAUACGGUCCAGACUCCUACGGGAGGCAGCAGUGGGGAAUAUUGGGCAAUGGGCGAAAGCCUGACCCAGCGACGCCGCGUGAAGGAAGAAGGCCUUCGGGUUGUAAACUUCAGUCAACAGGGAAGAAAGAAAUGACGGUACCUGUGGAGGAAGCCACGGCUAACUACGUG